This 496-nucleotide ribosomal RNA is filed under the name uncultured bacterium. RNAcentral's name for it is "partial 16S ribosomal RNA". It matches the Rfam family "Bacterial small subunit ribosomal RNA", at positions 29 to 507 of the family's 1533-position model. The record is from RNAcentral.
AUGAACGCUGGCGGCGUGCCUAAUACAUGCAAGUAGCACGCUGAAGGAAGGAGCUUGCUCUUUCCGGAUGAGUUGCGAACGGGUGAGUAACGCGUAGGUAACCUGCCUGGUAGCGGGGGAUAACUAUUGGAAACGAUAGCUAAUACCGCAUAACAGUAGAUGUUGCAUGAUAUCUACUUAAAAGGUGCAAUUGCACCACUACCAGAUGGACCUGCGUUGUAUUAGCUAGUUGGUGAGGUAACGGCUCACCAAGGCGACGAUACAUAGCCGACCUGAGAGGGUGAUCGGCCACACUGGGACUGGGACACGGCCCAGACUCCUACGGGAGGCAGCAGUAGGGAAUCUUCGGCAAUGGACGGAAGUCUGACCGAGCAACGCCGCGUGAGUGAAGAAGGUUUUCGGAUCGUAAAGCUCUGUUGUAAGAGAAGAACGAGUGUGAGAGUGGAAAGUUCACACUGUGACGGUAUCUUACCAGAAAGGGACGGCUAACUACGUG